RNAcentral lists this transfer RNA (104 nucleotides) under Bradyrhizobium sp. 135. RNAcentral describes it as "tRNA-Leu". The record is from RNAcentral. Lineage: Bacteria; Pseudomonadati; Pseudomonadota; Alphaproteobacteria; Hyphomicrobiales; Nitrobacteraceae. RNAcentral also lists the same sequence under 3 other names.
CGGGGGGUAAAUCAGGCCGUUUGCAAAAAUAGCUUGUGAAAUCAAUUUUCUACCUUAGUCUGGGAGAUUAGGGGUCGGAGGUUCAAAUCCUCUCGCUCCGACCA